CUGCCUCAGAACGGCGAGUGAAGCGGCAACAGCUCAAAUUUGAAAUCUGGCCCCAGCGGUCCGAGUUGUAAUUUGCAGAGGAUGCUUUUGACAAGGUGCCUUCCGAGUUCCCUGGAACGGGACGCCAUAGAGGGUGAGAGCCCCGUACGGUCGGUUGCCGAGUCUCUGUAAAGCUCCUUCGACGAGUCGAGUAGUUUGGGAAUGCUGCUCUAAAUGGGAGGUAAACCCCUUCUAAAGCUAAAUACUGGCCAGAGACCGAUAGCGCACAAGUAGAGUGAUCGAAAGAUGAAAAGCACUUUGAAAAGAGAGUUAAAUAGCACGUGAAAUUGUUGAAAGGGAAGCGCUUGUGACCAGACUUGUGCCUGGCAGCUCAGCCGUCCUUUUGGGCGGUGCAUUCUGCCGGCUCAGGCCAGCAUCAGUUCGCGGUUGGGGAGAAAGGUAACGGGAACGUAGCUCUUCGGAGUGUUAUAACCCGCUGCUAUGCCCUUCCGCGGACUGAGGUCGCGCUCUGCAAAGAUGCUGGCGUAAUGGGCAUCAACGACCCCUUUUGAAAACCGGGACAAGGAGUCGCCUAAUAUGCCAGUGUUCGGUGCCAAACCCCUGCGCCUAAUGAAAGUGAACCGAGGUGAAAACUUCGGCGCAUCAUCGACCGAUCCUGAUGUUCUCGAUGGAUUUGAGUAAGAGCAUAUUGGGCCGGACCCAAAAGAAGAUGAACUAUGCGUGGAUAGGGUAAACCAGAGGAACUCUGGUGGAGCUUCCACGGUCUUACUUGCAAAUCGAUCGCAAAUUGCCCUUGGGGCGAAAGAAUAAUCGAAUCUUCUAAUA
This 825-nucleotide ribosomal RNA is filed under the name Magnisphaera spartinae. RNAcentral describes it as "eukaryotic LSU rRNA". It matches the Rfam family "Eukaryotic large subunit ribosomal RNA", at positions 75 to 949 of the family's 3401-position model. The record is from RNAcentral. Lineage: Eukaryota; Fungi; Ascomycota; Sordariomycetes; Microascales; Halosphaeriaceae.